GGGGCGAGCGUUAUCGGAAUAAUUGUGCGGAAAGCGCAUGCAGGUGGUUCUUUAUAUCAGAUGUGAAAACCCGGGGGCUCCCCCUCGGAACUGCAUUUGAAACUGGUGAACUACAGUGCUGUAGAGGGGGGGGAAUUUCUUGUGUAGCGGUGAAAUGCGUAAAGAUCUGAAAGAAUACCAUUGGCGAAGGCGGCCCCCUGGACGAACACUGACCCUCCUAUGCUAAAACGUGGGGAGGAAACAAGAUUAGAUACCCUGGUAGUCCACCCCGCCCACGACGUCUACUUGGAGGUUGUGGCCUUGACCCGUGGCUUUCGGACCCAACGCCUUAAAUACACCGCCUGGGGAG
This 349-nucleotide ribosomal RNA is filed under the name uncultured Vibrio sp. Its description in RNAcentral is "partial 16S ribosomal RNA". It matches the Rfam family "Bacterial small subunit ribosomal RNA", at positions 531 to 880 of the family's 1533-position model. Lineage: Bacteria; Pseudomonadati; Pseudomonadota; Gammaproteobacteria; Vibrionales; Vibrionaceae. The record is from RNAcentral.